This is a long non-coding RNA of Symphalangus syndactylus (siamang), 240 nucleotides long. RefSeq lists it as uncharacterized. NCBI's taxonomy places the organism in Eukaryota, Metazoa, Chordata, Mammalia, Primates, Hylobatidae. The record is from RefSeq and is a predicted model, not a curated record.
UCGGGCUGGUGAGGAAACAUUUGUUUUGGAAUCGGAGCCAAGACUGAAUUCCCGGGGAUUUCUGGCGCGGUCGUGUCCAAGUGUCUGGUUACACAUGAAUUCCCAGAGGAGAGAAUGGGCGCGGAGGAGCUUUAGAAACACCCGUGUCUGAUACCUUCGAAGAUUCUGAUUUAACUGAUCUGUGGUGGGGCCUGGGCGAUGGCACUUGUAUAAAUUCUGCAGGUGAAGCAGGUUUAAGAA